AUAUAUGUAUUCAGCUUUAUAACUCAUUGCUAUAUACUCUAUAAAGGCUAUAUAUAGUGUUUUUUCAGUAGCAUUUCAAGUGUUGGUGUAGCUGAAUUCUCAGUUGUAACUUUGCUUUCCACUUGCUUUCUAUGUUUUUUUGGCAGAAAAUACAGUCUCUGUUUUCCACAGAGCUGGGCCAGGAGUAAAGCUGGUGAAAUCAGAACAGGUUGUUUCACAGGCACAUCUUGACAGCUGUGUGUGAUUUGAGCCAUGUCAGCAUCCUCUUGAGCAUUGCCUUCUCAUACUCACACUACAACUCCCAGCUAGCUUAAAUGGAGAAGCAGCUGGCUCUUCUGAGCUUUAUCUAAGCUGAUGUACUUUUUCUCUGGGUACGCUCAGAUUUUUCUGUAACAAAUUGAUGUUUUCAUAGCUAACAGACUGAAGCGCUCUGUGACUUUUUUCUCCACCUUUGUUUCUACUACAGAGAAGUAAAAUCACUGAGAACUAAAACGUGGGAGAAGCAAGAGGAUUUAACUGUUAGAAAAACUUUGUUUCACAAUUAACCUUGGGACUUGGGAAAGAAGAAACGAUGGACUGCUUUGCAGCAGGUAGCAACUUUCAGCAGUCCUGAACUGGAAGGGCAGGUCUGAACAAACGGAAGAAAAGCAGCUGAGUCACUGGGAGUGAAAGCAGUGAUUGUGCCAGUGCUAUGAUAAGAUUUGAUGCAUCUGAUCAGCCACAGAUUCCCCCCAACCCAAUACUGAUCCUUCUGCAAGGCAGGUGCAGUUUCUGAGCACACCAAACAAGGCAGUGAUACAUGUUUCUCUACUGCUGCAUUAUCUGCAAGAGGCUGAUUGUGAAAAACUUGUCUGAACAGAAGAGAACUGUGAAGUUGACAAUGGAACGAAAC
This is a long non-coding RNA of Tyto alba (common barn owl), 892 nucleotides long. RefSeq lists it as uncharacterized. The record is from RefSeq and is a predicted model, not a curated record. The transcript has 3 exons. NCBI's taxonomy places the organism in Eukaryota, Metazoa, Chordata, Aves, Strigiformes, Tytonidae.